CUUGGGGUCGAGCACUCGGGUCAGCGCGUCGACGGCGGCAGUGUCACACGCGCUUAGGGCGUCGAUGAGUGCGUCGGGCGUUGCCUCGAAUGACCGGCAGCCGACCGCGUGCAUCCAUCCCAGUAGGUCGUGCUGGUGGGCGUCGAUCGCCGCUCUGGCAAUAGUUGAUGGACAGCGGCAGGUCUUUGCGCCGUCUGUGCCUGCCGACUCUUGGUCGGUCCAGCGCUCGUGGGCAAAGGCAACCACGGCCUGAUGACCAUGGCGGGCAGCCUCUGCAAUGGUGUGCUCCAUCAGGAGACGUGACGGCGGCCGUAUGAGCGGGCAUGCGUCGACGAGGUAGCGGAUCACGUCGACAUGGCCGCGGCACGAUGCCUCGCGCAUGGACACGGCAAGCGCCGACGGUGUGUCUCCCUGGAAGGAUGCGCCAGCCGGCGAGUACACCGUAAACAUGGGUUCGAACAGCGAGUCAGGGCUCGGACCAAGGUCGGGCGAGGCGGGUCGAGAGCCGCCGCGCGAGCACGUUCCGACCAUCUCGUCACCCGAACCAUAGCACAUAUCGGGCGAGACCGGUCGGCUUCCGGCAGUGUCGGAAGGGUGGUCGCGCGAGUCGCUGUCGACGGCCUCGGUGUCAAGAAAAGGGCAAGGCGAUGGCGGCCUCUUGUCGUCGUCGGUGGCCCAUGGCACGCGGAAAGCGAAAUCGGUCUCGGCGUGUGGCAUAUGGACGCCGGUUGACGAGCGGGGCGCCGACAUUUGACGCGGAUAGAUAGGCACCUCUGGGUACGGCCAGCAUCCAAAGUCCCACGACCCCGGCGCUUGCGCAAUCGAUUCGCACAUCCACCGUACGACGUCCGUUCGUCCGCCUCUGGCGGCGUAGACCAUAUCGGCUACGGAAAGGAUCAGUGGCCAGCGGUCAUAGAGGCCUUGCACGACAUCUAACGGAGCCCCCAACUCGAUGAUAUAGCCGAUCCGCCCCGUGAAAGAGCGCGCCAGCAGGUCGAGCAGAUGAUGGCCGUCAAACACGGGCGAUGCGCGCAUACAGGCGACCAUGUCGCUGCACGUAUCUAGUUGUUGUGCGAUGAGAUCGAUGAUCUCGGGAGGCAUCUCUGAAAGGCCGGGGCCUAAUGCGUCAUCGGCGGUGGCCAGCGGCACAAAGGGAUGGAGAGCAGCCAUCGUGGUCGUCGCAAUUCAAGGUCUGUCACGGCAACACCUUUUUUUUUCUCCUCUACAAUGGAUCUUGUCGCGAUGCGAAUGGCAGUCGCUCGUGCCGACCCACCUCAGUGCCCUUUGUUUUCCAUCUAGCGUAUUCGCUGCGUGCACGCCCGCUGCGAUUUUACGACGGCUGCGCCAAUGAAUGCUACUCGUGGCGUUGCACAAACUCUAGGCGAAAAAAGCCAAAACAAAGAUCUUGUCUGGGC
RNAcentral lists this long non-coding RNA (1415 nucleotides) under Pandoravirus celtis. RNAcentral describes it as "hypothetical ncRNA". The record is from RNAcentral.